CAGUCGCCGCGGGAACACGAAGGGGGCUAGCGUUGUUCGGAAUUACUGGGCGUAAAGCGCACGUAGGCGGAUAUUUAAGUCAGGGGUGAAAUCCCAAGGCUCAACCUUGGAACUGCCUUUGAUACUGUUUGUCUUGAGUUCGAGAGAGGUAAGUGGAACUGCGAGUGUAGAGGUGAAAUUCGUAGAUAUUCGCAAGAACACCAAUGGCGAAGGCAGCCCCCUGGGAUAACACUGACGCUCAUGCACGAAAGCGUGGGGAGCAAACAGGAUUAGAUACCCCUGUAGUCCCUGUCUCUUAUAC
Molecule: ribosomal RNA, 301 nt
Filed under: uncultured bacterium
Lineage: Bacteria
Description: partial 16S ribosomal RNA
Rfam family: Bacterial small subunit ribosomal RNA
Source: RNAcentral